UACGUAGGGGGCAAGCGUUGUCCGGAUUUAUUGGGCGUAAAGAGCGUGUAGGCGGCUUUACAGGUCCGUUGUGAAAACUCGAGGCUCAACCUCGAGACGCCGGUGGAAACCGUAAGGCUAGAGUCCGGAAGAGGAGAGUGGAAUUCCUGGUGUAGCGGUGAAAUGCGCAGAUAUCGGGAGGAACACCAGUGGCGAAGGCGACUACCUGGCCUGUUCUUGACGCUGAGGCGCGAAAGCUAGGGGAGCAAACGGG
Molecule: ribosomal RNA, 253 nt
Filed under: uncultured bacterium
Lineage: Bacteria
Description: partial 16S ribosomal RNA
Rfam family: Bacterial small subunit ribosomal RNA
Source: RNAcentral